Molecule: ribosomal RNA, 366 nt
Filed under: Salmonella enterica
Lineage: Bacteria; Pseudomonadati; Pseudomonadota; Gammaproteobacteria; Enterobacterales; Enterobacteriaceae
Also listed under: 2 other names
Description: partial 16S ribosomal RNA
Rfam family: Bacterial small subunit ribosomal RNA
Source: RNAcentral
GGGCUCAACCUGGGAACUGCAUUCGAAACUGGCAGGCUUGAGUCUUGUAGAGGGGGGUAGAAUUCCAGGUGUAGCGGUGAAAUGCGUAGAGAUCUGGAGGAAUACCGGUGGCGAAGGCGGCCCCCUGGACAAAGACUGACGCUCAGGUGCGAAAGCGUGGGGAGCAAACAGGAUUAGAUACCCUGGUAGUCCACGCCGUAAACGAUGUCUACUUGGAGGUUGUGCCCUUGAGGCGUGGCUUCCGGAGCUAACGCGUUAAGUAGACCGCCUGGGGAGUACGGCCGCAAGGUUAAAACUCAAAUGAAUUGACGGGGGCCCGCACAAGCGGUGGAGCAUGUGGUUUAAUUCGAUGCAACGCGAAGAACC